RNAcentral lists this ribosomal RNA (502 nucleotides) under uncultured bacterium. RNAcentral's name for it is "bacterial SSU rRNA". It matches the Rfam family "Bacterial small subunit ribosomal RNA", at positions 28 to 529 of the family's 1533-position model. The record is from RNAcentral.
GAUGAACGCUAGCUGGAGGCUUAAUACAUGCAAGUCGAGCGGGAUUGGGUAGCAAUACCCAUGAGAGCGGCGCACGGGUGAGUAACGCGUACACGACCUACCUCUGACAGGGGGAUAGCCCUGGGAAACUGGGAUUAAUACCGCAUAUUAUUCUGAAUAAUAAAGGUUUGGAAUGAAAGCUGAGGCGGUCAGAGAUGGGUGUGCGUCUGAUUAGCUAGUUGGUAGGGUAACGGCCUACCAAGGCGAUGAUCAGUAGGGGGCGUGAGAGCGUGGUCCCCCACACGGGUACUGAGACACGGACCCGACUCCUACGGGAGGCAGCAGUAAGGAAUAUUGGUCAAUGGGCGAAAGCCUGAACCAGCCAUCCAGCGUGCAGGAAGAAGGCCCUAUGGGUUGUAAACUGCUUUUAUCAGGGAAGAAACCUCUGGAUUUACUCCGGAGCUGACGGUACCUGAAGAAUAAGCACCGGCUAACUCCGUGCCAGCAGCCGCGGUAAAGUCGA